GAUGAACGCUGGCGGCGUGCCUAAUACAUGCAAGUCGAGCGAACAGACGAGGAGCUUGCUCCUCUGACGUUAGCGGCGGACGGGUGAGUAACACGUGGAUAACCUACCUAUAAGACUGGGAUAACUUCGGGAAACCGGAGCUAAUACCGGAUAAUAUAUUGAACCGCAUGGUUCAAUAGUGAAAGACGGUUUUGCUGUCACUUAUAGAUGGAUCCGCGCCGCAUUAGCUAGUUGGUAAGGUAACGGCUUACCAAGGCAACGAUGCGUAGCCGACCUGAGAGGGUGAGCGGCAACAGUGAAACUAAGACACGGCCAAGCCUCCAGGGGGGGGCGGAAGUGGGGAUUCUCCCGCAUUGGGGGAAAGUUUGAGGGAGAACCGCGGGGUGGGUGAUGAAGGUCUUGGGUCCUUAAAACUUUUUUAUUGGGAAAAAAAAAUUGUUAAAGUAAUUAUGCCCUUCUUGGGGUAACCUAAUAGGAAAGCCACGACUAACUCCGUC
RNAcentral lists this ribosomal RNA (497 nucleotides) under uncultured bacterium. Its description in RNAcentral is "partial 16S ribosomal RNA". It matches the Rfam family "Bacterial small subunit ribosomal RNA", at positions 28 to 507 of the family's 1533-position model. The record is from RNAcentral.